AAGUCGUAACAAGGUUUCCGUAGGUGAACCUGCGGAAGGAUCAUUAGAGAAAACAUUACACACUGGGUACGAUACCACAACAACAAAACUAUUUAUCGAAACUUACAAAAAUCAAAACUUUCAACAACGGAUCUCUUGGUUCUC
This 144-nucleotide unclassified non-coding RNA is filed under the name fungal sp. Its description in RNAcentral is "partial internal transcribed spacer region". The stretch from base 1 to 46 matches the Rfam family "Eukaryotic small subunit ribosomal RNA", at positions 1786 to 1831 of the family's 1831-position model. Lineage: Eukaryota; Fungi. The record is from RNAcentral.